GGCUGCGAUCAUACCAGCACUAAUGCACCGGAUCCCAUCAGAACUCCGAAGUUAAACGUGCUUGGGCGAGAGUAGUACUAAGAUCGGUGACCUCUUGGGAAGUCCUCGUGUUGGACCCC
This 119-nucleotide ribosomal RNA is filed under the name Ricinus communis (castor bean). The record is from RNAcentral. Lineage: Eukaryota; Viridiplantae; Streptophyta; Magnoliopsida; Malpighiales; Euphorbiaceae.